RNAcentral lists this ribosomal RNA (537 nucleotides) under uncultured bacterium. RNAcentral's name for it is "bacterial SSU rRNA". It matches the Rfam family "Bacterial small subunit ribosomal RNA", at positions 9 to 538 of the family's 1533-position model. The record is from RNAcentral.
GAGUUUGAUCCUGGCUCAGGAUGAACGCUAGCGACAGGCCUAACACAUGCAAGUCGAGGGGCAGUACAAGGAUAGCAAUAUUCUGGUGGCGACCGGCGCACGGGUGAGUAACACGUAUGCAACCUACCUGUAAGAGGGGAAUAACCCGGAGAAAUCCGGACUAAUACCGCAUAAUACCAAUUAGCUGCAUGGUUGAUUGGUUAAACAUCUAUGGCAUACAGAUGGGCAUGCGUAUGAUUAGCUAGUUGGUGAGGUAACGGCUCACCAAGGCAACGAUCAUUAGGGGUUCUGAGAGGAAGGUCCCCCACACUGGUACUGAGACACGGACCAGACUCCUACGGGAGGCAGCAGUGAGGAAUAUUGGUCAAUGGGCGAGAGCCUGAACCAGCCAAGUCGCGUGAAGGAAGAAGGCUCUAUGGAUUGUAAACUACUUUAGUAAGGGAAUAAAAAGGGGUACGUGUACCCUAUGGUAUGUACUUUACGAAUAAGGAUCUGCUAUCUCCGUGCCACCAGCCGCGGUAAUACGGAGGAUCCAAG